GAUGAACGCUGGCGGCGUGCCUAAUACAUGCAAGUCGAGCGAACAGAUGAGGAGUUUGCUCCUCUGACGUUAGCGGCGGACGGGUGAGUAACACGUGGAUAACCUACCUAUAAGACGGGGAUAACUUCGGGAAGCCGGAUCAUAUACCGGAUAAUAUAUUGAACCACAUGAUUCACUAGUGAAAUGCAGUUUUGUUGUUACUUGUUGAUGGAUCCUCGCCUCAUUUGCUUGUUGGUAAGGUAACGGCUUACCAAGGCAACAUUUAGUAGCCGACCUGAGAGGGUGAUCGGCAACACUGGACUGGGGCAACGGUCAAGCCUCCUACGGGAGGAACCAGUAGGGAAUCUUCCGCAAUGGGCGAAAGCCUGACGGAGAAACGCCGCGUGAGUGAUGAAGGUCUUCGGAUCGUAAAACUCUGUUAUAAGGGAAGACCAAAUGUGUAAGUAACUAUGCACGUCUUGACGGUACCUUAUCAGAAAGCCACGGCUAACUACGUG
Molecule: ribosomal RNA, 497 nt
Filed under: uncultured bacterium
Lineage: Bacteria
Description: partial 16S ribosomal RNA
Rfam family: Bacterial small subunit ribosomal RNA
Source: RNAcentral